Gasterosteus aculeatus aculeatus (three-spined stickleback) is the source of this 1737-nucleotide long non-coding RNA. NCBI's taxonomy places the organism in Eukaryota, Metazoa, Chordata, Actinopteri, Perciformes, Gasterosteidae. The record is from Ensembl.
ACGGCAAUCUCCGUUUCAGUUUUUGUUUUUAAACACAAACAGCCACCGAGGCGACCAAUGAGAACGCCACAAUGGCGGAAAACAACAAUGACAGCUAUGUCAGAAAUGACGACAGGUGACAUUUCUUUCUAUUCAGGAGUGUGAGAGAAGUUGUUGAAGUGAUCACGAGGAUUAACUGUGGGAUGGGCCUUCGGGGGGAUCGCGUGCCACAGGUGUAAAAUGUUAUGUCGUUGUGUUCUUCGCUCCUGGCAACCGAAGACGAGGCAGUGCUAAUAAAUACUGUACUUUGGUGCCGGAGGAAAUGCGCCGUGUUCUUGUUCUUUUCUCGAGGAGGCAUCUUUUGACAGGCUGCCCGGCGAGCUUUCACUGCAGCUUCCUUUUUUAAACCGCGAGCUUCUGCAAGCUGAUGAGACAGUGACAGUUGACCCCGAUGUAAACAGCCGGUAUCCUGGUAACCGGGUGGUGGGCAAGAAUGUGCAAAAGGAAAGCAUCAUUUUUAAACAAUUAUGGGGGAAAAAAAAAGAAAGAGAGACGGUGAAGACACAGGAAGAUGAGAAGGAGGCGUUUGGCGUGAGAACCACGCCAAGUGUCAGUGGAAGUGCCAAAACAUUUACUGACGAGAGCUGUUUAUACGUGACUGCGGGUGAGGUGCUGAUGCAUGCAGUGGCUGGCAGUCUCCACCUGCUGCGCCUGCAGCAAUGAAAGUCGGGGGAAGAUAUAAAACAUUGGAAUUUUUGCCGCUUCCGUCUCCUUUGAGAUCCGAACGUUGAGCCCCUGAAGCUGCCCUUUGCCGCCGCGGCCGUCUCCAAUUGAAUCCUCUCAGCCAGAGCAGAGAUUUGACCCGGCGUACCUCUGCUGAUAACAUCUGCACUUCUGCACAAUCUGAACUUUCCCGUAUUUGUUCUCCGACCAGCUGCAUCUUGCAGCGGAACAGGGCCCCCGAUACGUAUCUCAGAUACGUUUCACACACACCUUUGUGCCGACGGACCGAACAAAAGUCACCACAAUGGUGCAGCUGCAGGGGGAAUGCAUGUGCACUGGAACCGUCCCGCGCUGACCUCCGGCCUCGGCCAUGAGUACAACAGAGUCAGCGCUCUGAGCUAAAUACAGUCGAUUCUAGUGCUUGAAUGCCGAGAAAGGAGCAGGAACAGGAUGUCCCCAAUCGAAACGAGGAGAAAGAAUGCGUAGACUCAAGACGGACGGGCAGUUUCCCAUGACACAAUCAUCGCUACUUCCUGGAGCUGCGAGGUUUCGUACACAAACAGGUCGUGUGGAAUGUGGACCCCGGCAGGUCGGCCGAUGGACCUGAGGGUGAGAGCUGGUGUAACAGCUACGUGUCCAGCAGGCAACCAUUAACCCCGCGUCCCGUCCGCCCACAGACUCUGGCAAACACGCGUGUGUGUAAAACGCGAUGCCUUCAUCCCCUCUCACAACCUGACUUGAGUGACCUUUGACCUUGCUCGCGGACGAACCCCUCCCUCUGGGCCAGAGCAAGACUGUGAUGCUGUUGCACUUGAGAUAUGGAUGACCAAGCAGGAUUUGUUGUAUCUCCGUCUUUGUGGGUCACUAUAAAUGAUGGUCCUGCAGCUUUUUUGUUACUGGUAGAUUUAAACAGAUCGCAUUUCUCUAAAUAACAAUAAGGAGGAAGAACACUUCGACUGGGGAGAUAAUAAACAAGUUGUAGCUCGUCAAUGUAAAUGUAAAUUGUGUUCCAUAUAUUUUACAUUUAAAACACGC